UGGGGUUCCCCGGUGUAGGUGGGUGCAGCCCCCCGGGGCUGAUGCUGCCACAUCUAAAGGCCAUCUACCCAGAAUCACAGGGAACUGGAUAAGACUCUAUGAAGGGGAGAUUGGUAAAGGCCCUUUAACCAGAUCUGAGCAAUGGGGAACAGUUGCAAAUGCUUCCCAAGAGCCCCUCAGUAAAAAGAGAUAAAGAAUAAUGGGAUAAAGAAAAUGCUUCACACUUUGGUUUUGGAAGAGGAGGGAGGAUACAGAGAAGCCCAACGGUGAGAAGGUGUGGAAACAUGGAGAGGGCAUGGCUUUCCCAAAGCCACAGAGAACUAGCUUAGAACAGAGCUGGGGAUACAGCUCAUGAUCCUGCACCCCUUCGGGGCUUAUCUUUACAAUGCUCUGUGCUUCGACAACACUGUGGGGACACAGUCCCCUCCCCCUCCUUCUGUAAGACCAUUUAUUUGCUCACAAAUCAGGAUUAUUCAAGACACAUGGGAAACAGACCUCGAUCAGGCGUACUAAGGUGGUCAACUGCAGGACUGCACCUCACAACAUGCACUUUUGGGGAUCCAUGAGCUGGUCUGACGUGCCAGGCGGCAGAGAACAGGAAGCAGCUCACUCUACAGACAAAGGCCCCUCAACCCAGGGUGAGGGAUUGGUGCAGGAUUCUUCGUCUGUUUUCUUAUCACGUCUCCUCCCCAUAUAUAAUUUUAUCAGUAAAUGAGAGAUUAAAGUCUCAUAGGGAAAAAAAGUCAGGAGU
Callorhinus ursinus (northern fur seal) is the source of this 751-nucleotide long non-coding RNA. RefSeq lists it as uncharacterized. NCBI's taxonomy places the organism in Eukaryota, Metazoa, Chordata, Mammalia, Carnivora, Otariidae. The record is from RefSeq and is a predicted model, not a curated record.